CCUGUUGUUCCGUCAACAGUAGCCUAUGGGAACGUGCGGUAUUAAGCAAUGAACCCGUGCGGUAACAGAACCAACAAUGAAGCCCUUCCGAAAGGAGAAGUCUGAACCGUGAGGGGAUGACAACUGCCGUUAGUAUCGAACGACAGGGGAG
Molecule: non-coding RNA, 151 nt
Organism: Barnesiella viscericola DSM 18177
Lineage: Bacteria; Pseudomonadati; Bacteroidota; Bacteroidia; Bacteroidales; Barnesiellaceae
Source: Rfam